This 2235-nucleotide ribosomal RNA is filed under the name Shouchella clausii. Its description in RNAcentral is "partial 23S ribosomal RNA". It matches the Rfam family "Bacterial large subunit ribosomal RNA", at positions 698 to 2925 of the family's 2925-position model. Lineage: Bacteria; Bacillati; Bacillota; Bacilli; Caryophanales; Bacillaceae. The record is from RNAcentral.
AGUACGAUGCCGUAGACCCGAAACCGGGUGAUCUACCCAUGUCCAGGGUGAAGGUCGGGUAACACCGACUGGAGGCCCGAACCCACGCAAGUUGAAAAUUGCGGGGAUGAGGUGUGGGUAGGGGUGAAAUGCCAAUCGAACUCGGAAAUAGCUGGUUCUCCCCGAAAUAGCUUUAGGGCUAGCCUCGAGUGAUGAGUCUUGGAGGUAGAGCACUGAUUGGACGAGGGGUCCCCACAGGAUUACCGAAUUCAGUCAAACUCCGAAUGCCAAUGACUUUAACUCGGGAGUCAGACUGCGAGUGCUAAGAUCCGUAGUCAAGAGGGAAACAGCCCAGACCAUCAGCUAAGGUCCCCAAGUAUACGUUAAGUGGAAAAGGAUGUGGAGUUGCCCAGACAACCAGGAUGUUGGCUUAGAAGCAGCCAUCAUUGAAAGAGUGCGUAAUAGCUCACUGGUCGAGUGACUCUGCGCCGAAAAUGUACCGGGGCUAAACGUAUCACCGAAGCUAUGGCAAUCCCGUAUGGGAUUGGGUAGGGGAGCGUUCCAAGGACAGCGAAGCCAGAUCGUGAGGACUGGUGGAGUGCUUGGAAGUGAGAAUGCCGGUAUGAGUAGCGAAAAGAUAGGUGAGAAUCCUAUCCGUCGAAAGCCCAAGGUUUCCUGAGGAAGGCUCGUCCGCUCAGGGUUAGUCGGGACCUAAGCCGAGGCCGAAAGGCGUAGGCGAUGGACAACAGGUUGAUAUUCCUGUACCACCUCGUAUUCGUUUGAACGAUGGGGGGACGCAGAAAGGUAGGGUGAGCGCGCCGCUGGCUGUGCGCGUCGAAGCAUGCGAGGCUGGAACAUAGGCAAAUCCGUGUUCCGUAAGGCUGAGCUGUGACCGUGAAGGACCUUCGGGUCCGAAAUCCCUGAUCCUCCGCUGCCGAGAAAAGCCUCUAGUGAGAAUACAGGUGCCCGUACCGCAAACCGACACAGGUAGGCGAGAAGAGAAUUCUAAGACGCUCGGGAGAACUCUCGUUAAGGAACUCGGCAAAAUGACCCCGUAACUUCGGGAGAAGGGGUGCUCUAGUAGGGUUAACCGCCCGAGAGAGCCGCAGUGAAAGGAUCCAAGCGACUGUUUAGCAAAAACACAGGUCUCUGCGAAGCCGUAAGGCGAAGUAUAGGGGCUGACACCUGCCCGGUGCUGGAAGGUUAAGAGGAAGGGUCAUCCCUCACGGGAGAAGCUCUGAAUUGAAGCCCCAGUAAACGGCGGCCGUAACUAUAACGGUCCUAAGGUAGCGAAAUUCCUUGUCGGGUAAGUUCCGACCCGCACGAAUGGUGCAACGACUUGGAUACUGUCUCAACGAGAGACCCGGUGAAAUUAUAGUACCUGUGAAGAUGCAGGUUACCCGCGACAGGACGGAAAGACCCCAUGGAGCUUUACUGUAGCUUGAUAGUGAGUGUUGGUAUCAUCUGUACAGGAUAGGUAGGAGCCUUGGAAACCGGAGCGCUAGCUUCGGUGGAGGCGUCGGUGGGAUACUACCCUGAUGGUGCUGGCAUUCUAACCUCGACCCGUGAUCCGGGCCAGGGACAUUGUCAGGUGGGCAGUUUGACUGGGGCGGUCGCCUCCUAAACAGUAACGGAGGCGCCCAAAGGUUCCCUCAGAAUGGUUGGAAAUCAUUCGUAGAGUGCAAAGGCAGAAGGGAGCUUGACUGCGAGACCUACAAGUCGAGCAGGGACGAAAGUCGGGCUUAGUGAUCCGGCGGUGCCGUAUGGAAGGGCCGUCGCUCAACGGAUAAAAGCUACCCUGGGGAUAACAGGCUUAUCUCCCCCAAGAGUCCACAUCGACGGGGAGGUUUGGCACCUCGAUGUCGGCUCGUCGCAUCCUGGGGCUGAAGUAGGUCCCAAGGGUUGGGCUGUUCGCCCAUUAAAGCGGCACGCGAGCUGGGUUCAGAACGUCGUGAGACAGUUCGGUCCCUAUCCGUCGCGGGCGUAGGAAAUUUGAGAGGAGCUGUCCUUAGUACGAGAGGACCGGGAUGGACAUACCGCUGGUGUACCAGUUGUUCCGCCAGGAGCAUCGCUGGGUAGCUACGUAUGGACGGGAUAAGUGCUGAAAGCAUCUAAGCAUGAAGCCCCCCUCAAGAUGAGAUUUCCCAUGGCGUAAGCCAGUAAGACCCCUUAGAGAUGAUGAGGUUGAUAGGUCAGAAGUGGAAGCGUGGCGACACGUGGAGCGGACUGAUACUAAUCGGUCGAGGACUUAUCCUA